UUGAGAGCGGCGGACGGGUGAGUAAUGCCUAGGAAUCUGCCUGGUAGUGGGGGAUAACGUCCGGAAACGGACGCUAAUACCGCAUACGUCCUACGGGAGAAAGCAGGGGACCUUCGGGCCUUGCGCUAUCAGAUGAGCCUAGGUCGGAUUAGCUAGUUGGUGGGGUAAUGGCUCACCAAGGCGACGAUCCGUAACUGGUCUGAGAGGAUGAUCAGUCACACUGGAACUGAGACACGGUCCAGACUCCUACGGGAGGCAGCAGUGGGGAAUAUUGGACAAUGGGCGAAAGCCUGAUCCAGCCAUGCCGCGUGUGUGAAGAAGGUCUUCGGAUUGUAAAGCACUUUAAGUUGGGAGGAAGGGCAGUUGCCUAAUACGUAACUGUUUUGACGUUACCGACAGAAUAAGCACCGGCUAACUCUGUGCCAGCAGCCGCGGUAAUACAGAGGGUGCAAGCGUUAAUCGGAAUUACUGGGCGUAAAGCGCGCGUAGGUGGUUUGUUAAGUUGGAUGUGAAAUCCCCGGGCUCAACCUGGGAACUGCAUUCAAAACUGACUGACUAGAGUAUGGUAGAGGGUGGUGGAAUUUCCUGUGUAGCGGUGAAAUGCGUAGAUAUAGGA
RNAcentral lists this ribosomal RNA (616 nucleotides) under Pseudomonas sp. EECC-679. RNAcentral's name for it is "bacterial SSU rRNA". It matches the Rfam family "Bacterial small subunit ribosomal RNA", at positions 89 to 701 of the family's 1533-position model. The record is from RNAcentral. Lineage: Bacteria; Pseudomonadati; Pseudomonadota; Gammaproteobacteria; Pseudomonadales; Pseudomonadaceae.